CGUCUUUCAUCCAGGUUGUAAUUGCAGUGGAAGGGGAGACCAAACAUUCAAAGAUUGCUGAAGAGCCAACGAACUCUGAUUCUGUCAAGAUGAUGUCUUUGAUUUCUUUCACAAACUUCAGUGGCACAGCCUUUAGCUGUUUAGGAAAAUGCAAGAAGACAUAUGUAGAUGAGACAAAGAUAGACCAUGUCUAUACAUGUAUGAAAUGGAUGGGAGACAAAGGAAGCAACACUCAAUGAGCCAGGACCAUAAAAGCCACAGAAAUAUAAGAAAUGAAUGGGACUACUCUCUGAUCAUUGAAAAAGAGAGACAGAACAUUCGAUGGAGGCAGAAAGAGCGAGGAGUCAGCAGCAGGCAUGGCAUGACAAGCAACCCAGGAACCAUGGGGCAGCAGAAGACACAGCUCUAUGCAAUCUCACAGUACAAUCAUGUCUGAAAGUACACACUUCUAAAAGUCAUACAUUUCUUGCAAGCAUCAUUUCAGAUGGCUGGAUAGAAGUUUGAAGCAGGCUAAUAAAACUUUGGAAGUGGCAUUUUUUACCUUU
RNAcentral lists this non-coding RNA (545 nucleotides) under Pan troglodytes (chimpanzee). Lineage: Eukaryota; Metazoa; Chordata; Mammalia; Primates; Hominidae. The record is from RNAcentral.